GAUGUGGUGGCUCAAUGGUAGAGCUUUCGACUCCAGCUUGAAGUUGUAAUCGAAGGGUUGCAGGUUCAAUUCCUGUCCAUGUCA
Molecule: transfer RNA, 84 nt
Filed under: Yarrowia lipolytica
Lineage: Eukaryota; Fungi; Ascomycota; Dipodascomycetes; Dipodascales
Also listed under: 1 other name
Rfam family: tRNA
About the family: Transfer RNA (tRNA) molecules are approximately 80 nucleotides in length. Their secondary structure includes four short double-helical elements and three loops (D, anti-codon, and T loops). Further hydrogen bonds mediate the characteristic L-shaped molecular structure. tRNAs have two regions of fundamental functional importance: the anti-codon, which is responsible for specific mRNA codon recognition, and the 3' end, to which the tRNAs corresponding amino acid is attached (by aminoacyl-tRNA synthetases). tRNAs cope with the degeneracy of the genetic code in two manners: having more than one tRNA (with a specific anti-codon) for a particular amino acid; and 'wobble' base-pairing, i.e. permitting non-standard base-pairing at the 3rd anti-codon position.
Source: Rfam by way of RNAcentral